AUUCGCAAGAUCCUCAAAAUAUCAUUGGUGAGUUGUUAGAAAUCGAUGGCAAUAUUGUUGUGGUUCGCGAUACAAACCAUUGCAGCAGUCAAGAUGCGGAAAACAAUGAGGACGAUUAUAUGUUAAGGGAGUUCUUAAAAGGAAUAAAUAUGGAGUCGCUUUUUGAACAAUUAAAAGGUAAGUAAAUAAAAAUGAAUUUUUCAGUUAAUCAGUGUAAUUAACAAAGAAUUUUCUUUUUUGUUCUUUUAGCAUCACAUGUAACAUUUCGCAGCUUGCAGUACUUGAAAAAAGAAGAUUUAAAGGAAGCAGUGCCACCAUUGGGACUGCGUGUUGAAUUCAGAGAAAAGCUCUUUGCUUGGAAAAAACGAAAGCUCGGGAUUGAUGACGAAACUAUGUCAGUUCCAUCUAAAAUAGGUGAAUGGUGGAAACGCAACGAGACACCUGCAAGUACUCCUGGUACUCCCGACACUACAGGUUCGAACUGCUCAAAAGCCAAAGGAAUUUUGUCAGAGGAUCUAACGGAAUUGUUAACACAUACCUCGAAGGGGAAACUAGCGCUUGAAUGUAGUAGCGUUAAUAAGAAAUUAAGUGACGAGCAAAGAGAUGAUAUAAUUAAUAUAAUUAUUGAAGAUAUUUUAACCAACAAUGUUACUCUUUACACUCAAGACUAUAUGCGCAUAUUGGAUGAAAUUUGUUCCGUUUUUCCUCUUGAAAACGAAAUGAGGGUAAGAUUAACAAUAUAAACAACGUAUCUGAUUAUGUAGUUUCUUAACUUAUAAUAUGUCUUUAUUUUUAGGAUUAUUAUUACAUUUCAAGAAAAGGAAAGAACAACGCAAGCGGAAAACUUUAUGCCAAGUAUAGAAACAAGAAGUCCAAAAGAAUAAAGCUUUUGAUUUCCGAGCCUAGCACAAGCAAAGCAGCAACUCACACAUCUCCUAAUUUUUGUAACAAAGAUGUUCCCGAAAUUGAUGAAUCAGUUGAAAAUUCAUUGAAAGCUUCCUUACUAAGAGAAUGUAAUGAUUGGGGAUCGAUCUGCGAAAAAUGGAAAAGAUCUUUUAACAUAACUUAGAACCAAAUGUUAUCAUUAAUACGCAUACCAUCGAAGAUUUGGCAAAAGAGGAAUAUUGUUACAAAAAAAGUAAGCCAGU
Molecule: long non-coding RNA, 1148 nt
Organism: Musca domestica (house fly)
Lineage: Eukaryota; Metazoa; Arthropoda; Insecta; Diptera; Muscidae
Exons: 3
Source: RefSeq, a predicted model, not a curated record